UCAGGAGUGAACGCUGGCGGCGUGCCUAACACAUGCAAGUCGAGCGGAGAUACUUGAUAAGCUUGCUUAAUGAGUAUCGUUAGCGGCGGAUGGGUGAGGAACGCGUGGAGAACCUGCCCUUCACAGGGGGAUAACAGCUGGAAACGGCUGUUAAUACCGCAUAUGCUCACAGCGCCGCAUGGCGCAGGGAGGAAAGCGCACAGUGGUGAAGGAUGGCUCCGCGUCGGAUUAGCCAGUUGGCGGGGUAACGGCCCACCAAAGCGAUGAUCCGUAGCCGGCCUGAGAGGGCGACCGGCCACAUUGGGACUGAGACACGGCCCAAACUCCUACGGGAGGCAGCAGUGGGGGAUAUUGCACAAUGGGCGAAAGCCUGAUGCCAGCGACGCCGCGUGAAGGAAGACGUACCUCGGUAUGUAAACUUCUAUCAGCAGGGAAGAAGAUGACGGUACCUGACUAAGAAGCCCCGGCUAACUACGUGCCAGCAGCUGC
This 489-nucleotide ribosomal RNA is filed under the name uncultured bacterium. RNAcentral describes it as "bacterial SSU rRNA". It matches the Rfam family "Bacterial small subunit ribosomal RNA", at positions 27 to 518 of the family's 1533-position model. The record is from RNAcentral.